UGUGUGUAAGAGACAGGGUUGAUGUUACUGGUUAAAUUUCUUCUAAUGGGUCAUGUUGCUUUUUACAUCAGCAUUCUAUCCCUGUGCUUCGGCUUUCAAUGCAUGAAAGAAAUAAUCAAUUGCCCUGAUACACUCUCACAUGCCCCCAAAAGUAUGACUAUGUUUGUACAGAGCUCCAUUCUUUUGAGAUAGGCAGAUGGAGUUCACACUGGCUGACACAGUACCACAUUCAAUGGAAGCUUUGUAGUGGGCA
Molecule: long non-coding RNA, 253 nt
Organism: Prionailurus viverrinus (fishing cat)
Lineage: Eukaryota; Metazoa; Chordata; Mammalia; Carnivora; Felidae
Exons: 3
Source: RefSeq, a predicted model, not a curated record